Molecule: unclassified non-coding RNA, 337 nt
Filed under: Hevea brasiliensis (rubber tree)
Lineage: Eukaryota; Viridiplantae; Streptophyta; Magnoliopsida; Malpighiales; Euphorbiaceae
Source: RNAcentral
AUGGUCUCUCUAGCCAUGAAGCACUAGCAAGCAGCUUUUUAAGGCACUGACUCUUAAUUCUUGAAGUUGUCUUCCUUAAGUCCGUCCUAAAGUCAUGAGCCUGUAUCAAAGUCAUCACACCACAAAAAACACAGAUCAAAGAAAUAGAGUCCCUCCCAUAUAAAACACAGGAUUUGCAAUGCCAACCCAAAAAUAAAAAGAAAAUCUACGCUCAAAUCGGACGAUGGGGAGGGAGACAAUCCCAUACUCAGCUGGGAAAAAGUUCCCUAUACCUCGAAUGACAUGGAAACCCACCAAAAACGGCUUUGGGUUACUCCGAAGAGAAAUUGGACUAGGA